RNAcentral lists this ribosomal RNA (447 nucleotides) under uncultured bacterium. RNAcentral's name for it is "bacterial SSU rRNA". It matches the Rfam family "Bacterial small subunit ribosomal RNA", at positions 355 to 825 of the family's 1533-position model. The record is from RNAcentral.
UCGGGAAUUUUGGGCAAUGGGCGAAAGCCUGACCCAGCAACGCCGCGUGAAUGAUGAAGUAUUUCGGUAUGUAAACUUCGUAAGAAUAGGAAGAAUAAAUGACGGUACUAUUUGUAAGGUCCGGCUAACUACGUGCCAGCAGCCGCGGUAAUACGUAGGGACCAAGCGUUGUUCGGAUUUACUGGGCGUAAAGGGCGCGUAGGCGGUGUGUCAAGUCAGUUGUGAAAUCUCCGAGCUUAACUCGGAACGGUCAACUGAUACUGUCACACUAGAGUACAGAAGGGGCAAUCGGAAUUCUUGGUGUAGCGGUGAAAUGCGUAGAUAUCAAGAGGAACACCUGAGGCGAAGGCGGGUUGCUGGGCUGAUACUGACGCUGAGGCGCGAAAGCUAGGGUAGCAAACGGGAUUAGAUACCCCCGUAGUCCCUGAGCGGGCUGGCAAGGCGCAU